GAGAUGGGAGCACUGAGACAUCACAAUGGGCCGGGAGAGCCUUGGAAAGGUGGCACCUGGACCUCACCGGUGAGCCCAGUGGGAAUGCCGUCACAGGUAAGGCUUUGGUGAGUAGAUGGAGAAGGUGUGAGGCACAGCUGUGCCCUAUUCCCCCGGUCAGGACCCCACUCAGCGUCCCAAAAACUCAUUGUUUGGCUCUCUGCCCCAGCAGCACAGCGUUGCAGGGGAUGCUUGUGGAGCAGCCGAAGCAAAUCCCACGUGGGAAGGAGAGACAGCCAUGUGAGGUGGGUGUAGGAAACCAGGUCACCUGUGAAAUGCUGUACAGGCGAAGCAUGGCAGGAUGGACUUUGGGUGUAGGUGAAACUUGCGGUCUCCAGGGGCUUGUCUUGGUUGGUGUCUUGGUGUUUUGGUGAUGUGCAGGUCGCUAAGCGUGUUUGGUCCUCAGCAUCAGGGUGCCGGCUGCUUCGCACCAUCCAGCACAUUUGUAGGAUCAGAAGUUGAUUGUUAAGUGAUGGCAGGACAGUUUUGUGUGGGUUUUUUUAUUUCCUGACCCUACAAUAAGUUUGUGCCACGCAAGAGAUGAGCACGAAGACGAGGAAGAGCGCAGAAGGGAUGGGAAGGAGUUGCCUCAAGACGCGAUGUGCAGUAUCCCAGCGAUACCGGUGUGGGGUGAGAGAUCAAGGAGUGUCCAGUGCCAGAGUAGCAGACAGAGGAUGUUAAAGAGAGAGAGAGGCGGCGCGAGGGAUGCAUUUAUGUAUUAAUUUAUUGACAUAGGUAAGGAUGUCUUGGUGGUGGGGAUGGAGGUUAUGGCCUGAAGUAUGCCCUCCAUCCCUCUGGAUGUAGCAGCUGAGGUCCCUGUCCUUAGGCACAGGUUGGAAAUUGCUGAGGGUCAUGGAGGAACAUCCCCCUCAACCUGGAAAAGGGAGAUGGGGGUAUCCAUGGCUGGGCUGACAGUGGAUGGGGCUGCAUCUCCUCCCUGGUGCUCUGUGAUGGGGACAGUGCAGACAAGGCAUUGGGAUGUGCCAUGAGCCAGAGCAUUUGACCAUUUGUUUCUCUCUAGUGGAAGCAGGUGCACCCAGCAGAACCAGUAUUUUAAGAUGGGAAGCAUUAGGGAGGCCCAGAUUGUGGUGGGAUCCCCAGGUGCCACAUGCAAGAAGCCGGUGUUGCUUUGUGGCCCCAGUAUUUAUAUUGCAUCAGCCUUGGCUCCCUGAUUGGUUGGGUAUUUUUGGAAGAGGCCAGUCUUGAGUUUCUGUCUCAAGCACAGAGUUUCCUACAGUGAUCACCUGUGCUUGACUCACUGCAGGGAACACUGAGGAAAGCAGGCAGGGUUGUUUGCCCCUCCCAGAUCCCUUUCUUGGGGAGGCCAUUGGGUUUUGGGAAGCACUUACCUUUCUGCAGGGGGACAGCAGAGAUGUCCCUGAUGUGUGAGGUCACAGCAACUCAUAGUGGUGCUGGGCUGGAGCUGUUUGCUCAGCAGGGCAGCUUCUUGUGAGGUUCAGGGAUAAACUUUCAGGACUGGGCUUUUCAUUCUCAUGUCGAGGAAGGCGAAGGGAGGUCUCAAAGCGAGUGAGACUCUGAUAGGUCUGAUUCAGUCCACAACCUCCAGUCUCCUGGCAGCAGGUCCCACAUUAGAGGAGCUUGUUGAAUGUUUUCUCCCAGCUGAUGUGGUAGAAAGGUGGGGAAAGCUGAUAGGGUAGAACAGAAUCCCCCUGGUGCAGGGGGCACAGCCUGUUCUCCCCAGCCCCGUGGUUUUAGGGUGAGAUUACAGCCAUGUCAGGACGAUGCUGAGGGUCCCAUCUCCUUCUGGUCCUGGUCCUUGCCAUCUUUGUCCUUUGAUGAAGACAUCUGGUCGGUGUCACGCACUGUCAGAUCAUGACAGGAGCAAACCACCCUUGGGAGCGCGUCAUCCACAGAGGUGUCCCUUCACAGGGGUGGGGGGGUUAGCUUGUCAGCAAGUUACAAGAUUGUUACAAGAUGAUGGAGAAGAUGCUGGGAAUGGCUCAGGCAUGGAAAAGAGGCCCCUGAUCGCGCUGCUUCCGCUGAAGGUGAGUGAUGAGAGCAAAGACAGUCCUUACCCUGCAGGAGCUCUGUCAGCAGGUAUGUGCUCAUUGGCAGAUGGAGGAUGGAGGUGGGUGGGCCCUGGGACCCACUGGUGGAUUCCCAGGGGAGAUGCAUGGGUGGGGUGAGGGGUGGCCCAAACAGCAGCGGACCCCCAGCUGUGGGAGCUCCAAGUGUCACCAUCACAGGGGAUGAUCAAAAGAGGGUCUAACCAAGUGCUGGGUAAGACUACAGGACCCACUUGGGAGCCCUCCUGGCUCAGCACACCGGGUGCCAAGCACCACGUCCCUCCCUGGGGUGUGGGGGGUCCGUGAAGCAAAGCCCCGAAGGUACAAAGUUCGUCAAACUUUAUUGAUACACUGCACAAUCACAACCAUCUCUUAUUCUUGCCGAAUUAGAAAAGGUUACAACUACAAUGUAACAUGCACAAAUCUCAGGUAGUAUAGCCACCCUUGGAAUACAAUGAUCGACAGAAACUCAAGACUGGCCGUCGUGGCCAUCAGCAGGAGAGACCCAGGGGCCACGCUGCCCCCGCCCUGGGCGCCCAGCCACCCCCCCCAGGCAUCCAAACAUGGAGAGCAGCGGUCACAAAGGGGUCUGACACCCAGCGGGGUCGGCCUCCAGACAGCCAACACGUUCCUCACAAUGGCACGUUACAUGGCACGAGAAAGUCGAACGCUGUCCCGGCAGAGGACAGGGGAGCUGAGCCCACCUGGCCCAGGGAGGAGGAGGAGGAUGGGAUGGGGGGCAGCCCCGGUGCCAGGUCCGCCAGCCUCGGUGUGCGUCGUGGCGUCUCGUCGUCGCCGCCGCUCUCUGAUAUGCCGUGGCCUCUGGCCCUGUGGUUCUGCAGCGUUUCUGCUGCAGGGACGGAGAAAUUUGGGGCUGACCCAGGAAGGGGCAGGGGGAGGCAGCAGGGGGGCUGUUGUGGGGCAGUGCGGACCACUGAAGGCAUCGGGGCAAGGCGUCUCCUGCACCCAAGGGCACUCUUGGAGCGGGCGCGUGGGGAAGGAUGUGCGUGUGUCGCUGGCUGAGGACGGUGCCAUCCCCGCUCAGUAAACAUGCCCAGGAGACGACUCAGACUGCUGCCAGUGCCACCUUCCCGGGAUGCCAGUGGAGAUGCAGAGCAGCACCGCAGGGACCGCAGGACGCGGACUCACCCAGUCAGUGCCGGAUCCCCGUCCACCAGGUAACCCGCGUGUCCCGCCAGCACCAGGGCAGCCCCGGGCCAGGGGGGGUUUGCCCAUCAGCCGUGGUACAUGGUGAACAUCCAGGAUGGGGGCUGGGAGCAUCCACUGAGAUUCUGUAGCAGGUCCCGGGCAGCCCGUUGGGAGCAGGGAUGAGGACGGGCACAGCUGCAUAGAGGACGGGGUGGUGGCCCAUCAUGGCCUCUGGCUUGGGCUGGUUUUUUCCAUCCUGUGUGCUAAGGACUGUCACCCCAGCUUCCUCACAGCCACACAAAGCAGGAGGAUUGGGCAGCAGCGGAGUCUGCACAGGGAAGACAGCGUGUGAGUGGCCAUUGCUCUUAAGUCAUCUCACUUAUGGAGGGAGAAAGGAGGGAAAAGGCACAGGGAUGCGGCGGGUCAGGACAGGGGAUGCUCUGUGUGCUUGCUCAGUGCCUUGCUGUAAUCAGGUCUCCCUGUCACAGCAACAGGGUCUGGUGCGAGAUGUGACUUUUCAGGAGCAGGAUGGGAGUGUUCAUCCCCAGACUGUGGCCCCAAAGCAUUCCUGGGUGGCCAGGGAGCGUCGGGAGGGCUCGGGGCUGCCACAGUGUACCAGGUGAGGGGGUCCAUGGUGCACGGUGCCAUCAGGAGCACAAUUCCAUAUGCAGGGAGGUGAUGUGGCCACCACCACAGGCAGCUCCCAGAGUGGCUGGAAGGGCAGAGUCUGGGUGCAUCCAUUUUGGUGUCGCGGGCGUGUCACAGCAGGGAGGAUCAGAGCCGUUCUUGUCCCUGCCGUGCCAGAGCAGUAAAUCGGUGGAGCCUGAGCUGCCUCCACAGGGUUGAGCACAUCAGACUUUCCUCAGGCAGGGGCACGUGAUGGGCAUGAGAGAAGGCAGCACGAGGGUGUUGCAGCUCAGGGCCCUCAGAAAGGCAGGGAUGCAGACGAUCACGAGCGUCAGAGCCGCAGCAAAAGGGCCUUGUCAGCUGGUGUUUCGCUGUGUGGUUCAGAGCCUCUGCCCCGCCUUGGUGGUGCUGUGCUUUUGAUGUGCAGCUUGGAAAGUGCUUGGAAAACAAGCCCAGAGGAACUCCCCCAAAAAAAGUGCUGGCAACACAGCAGGGCAACAGCCACAGGGCAGCCCCUGCCAUCAUAGGGACAGCAGCAGAGCGGGCAGGGGCCUGGAGCAAGAAGGGGUGAUGGCCUGGCUAUCUGAUGCAGCCAGAAGGCUCUAGUCCCCAUGAGGGGCUGGCAUCAUCCCCAGGGCUCACAUUCCUGGGAGAGCAGCCUCGUGCCCUCGGGAAGGUGAGGGGGUUUAUUGGGAAGCAGAGGGGUACGAUGUUAGCUGAGAGAAAGAGUAGUGGGAAGUGCCUGACCCUUGAAGGACAACUGGUUGUGUCCCCUGACCCUCUCCAAAAGGGCCAGCGAGCGUCACGUCAGGAGCAGAGGCAGAUGAGGGGAGGCCAGUGACAUCGGGGGGUGCUUAGGGAGGAGCUUUGGCGACAAGAACUGACAUUCAGGACCAAGAGGGCUGAAGGCAGAGCCAGGGGGCUUCAACCUUGGGGUCUUUUUGGGCAUAGGCGGCUUAGUGAGACGACGAGACGGACAUCCCCGGUGAAGGCUCUGGGCGGCACCUGCCCCGACAGCUCCACGGCCCCCGCGCCGGAGACGAGGAGCACCGUCCGUGCCGGGCCGGGCCGCGUCCCCGGGGCGGCGGUGGCGGGUGACAGUCUGGUGGCACGUGGUGGGGUCUGUACAGCGUAACUGGCGGCGAGAACGAUCCCGGCACGUGGGAGACGGGGCCAUCCUCGGACGCUCGGCACCGCCGCCCGUCCUCCGGCGCAUCGCCCGUCCCGCGGAGAGGAGUCCCCGGGCGGCGCGGCGGGCGGAGCCCGUGGCGGGGGGAGAGGCGCGGUGGAGCCUCCCGGGACCCUCCGCUCCCUUAUCAAAAGUCGAGGAGGAGGAGGCGAGCGAGGAGGGUGGCCCAGAGGCAGAGGCCGGCGGCCACCCGGGACGCCGCGUUGCCGCCGUCGUGCACCGCUCCGGGCCCUGGGCAGGGGAGAGGAGAGACAGACAAAAGGACAGCGGUGAGGUAGGUCAGUGGAGAUCGUGCAGGAAAACCCACCUCCCCACCAUCCCCGCAGUUCCCUGUCCCCUUCACAUCCCACCCCCUCGGCUGACACAGGGUGUUGUGCACUUUGAGGAGUGGGGGGUUUGUCGGUUGUUUGGAGAGCGUUGUUGGUGUUGAGGAGUUGUUGAGGAGGCAGGCAGAGAGCUUGAGGAGCAUUUUGGGGAGGCACAGUCCUUGUCUGAGGAGGAGGAGGAUGCUCUGGGCAGGUGCCAGUCCACCCCACCAUGCUUGGAAGUUGCCCCUCCUUGGAGAGUCGUGGAGUCUCAGGUACACGGGUGCAUUUUGGGGUUGCAUCACUGGGUGUUUCUUGGCAGGCAGGCCAGGCUGGGAGGAGGCUGGUCAUCCGGGUUUGUGGCUGGAGCAGAGGUUUGCUGCAUGUUCUUGGAGGAGGGCUGUUAUUUGGGAAAGAUUUGGGCUGCAGGGCACACAAGGGGCCAGUCAGGAUGAGAUGAGACUGCUGAGCAGAGUGAGGGAAGUGGAGCAGACACAGGUCUGCCUGGACUCCCUAAGCCUGGGGAGAGGUUUUUUGGGAAGCUGCAGGUCUGAGCCCCAGUAGUAGAAUUCUGAAAGGGAAGAAAUAGAGAAACAGGUGCUGAGCUGUCUUAGCAUCGAAGCUCAGGGCAUAGACAAAGUGUGAAGUAAAUGGGAUUUUUAUCCAAUUAUGAAUAUGCUCUCAAGCCUGCAGUCACCCACCUGGAAUGGGUUCAUCACAGAAUCAGUGGAAGGUUUGGAUUGGAAGGGACCUUAAAAUUCAUCUCAUUCCAAUCCCUACCAUGGGCAGGGACACCUUCCACUAGACCAGGUUGCUCCAAGCCCCAUCCAACCUGACCUUGGACACUUCCAGGGAUGGGGCAGCCACAGCUUCUCUGGGCAACCUGUGCCAGGGCCUGCCCACCCUCACAGGGAACAAUUUCUCUCCUAUAUCCAAUCUAAAUGCACCUUCAGUUUAAAUCCAUUUCUCUUUGUCUUAUCCCUCCAUGCCCUCAUCCAAAGUCCCUCCCCAGAUCUCCUGUAGCCUCUUCCAACUGAAAUAAUUCUGUGAUCUAAGAAAUUAUAUCCAGGUACACUAAAUUCUGUAGGAUGGUGUCACUCCUUGUCUUUUUAUCUACUGAUUUUUUUUUUUUUGUGAACAUUUAUCUUAUUUCAGGAAGAGGCAAAGGAGAGUCUAAGAUGUUAAAUCCAAGCCCUGCCAGAAGGUAAAGAAAAUGAUGGGAAGAUUUGAGUGAUGAGCAAGAAGCUGUGUCAUGCCCAUGCUCAAACAAAAUUGAUUGUAAGAGCACAUGAUAAUACAAGAGGUGUAGAACUGCUCUGCCAUAAUCAGACAUUUCCUUGCUGAAUAGACCUUGUGAUAUAAAAGGUGGAACCCCCAGCUAUUUGUUAGAGGCAAGUAGAGCCUUGCAGGUAGAAUGGAAAAGGGCUUUUGAGCUUGGUUCUCCCUCAGAUCUGUUGCUGCUCCCUCUUCUUUCUUUUUAUCCCCUCAAACUAAUGGCAGCACAUGAUGCAAAUCUAUAUUAAAAAAAAAAAAAAGAAAAUCUAUGCAGAUUUAAUAUUAAAUGCUGCUAAGACUUAACCUUUCAUGUAUUUACACCUGCUCAAAUCCUGCUAAAUCUGUACCUUUCUCUAACAGUUUAUCUAUACCUUUAUCUAUAGAUGUGGAUUUUUAAUGUGUGACUAAUUCUCAUUACUGCUUUCUAGUUCACAGUUCUGCUCUGGUUAUUGGCUUUGAUUUAAUGAUGCUUUUUAGAAAUCUCAUAAUCUACUCUAAAGCAAUCACAUCCUGGUUGAGUUGGAGAGUUCCCAAAUAGAUAAGUCAGAGAGGAAAUAAACUGAAAUACUGGGUCAUAACCAGAAAAGAAAAAAACCACCAAUAUUUUCUCUUAACUCUAUUCUUUGCUGAGAGAGGAUUUAUCCUGGUGUCAGACAGCCUGGCCUUGUAAAGAUACUCUACAGAAGAGACAAGCAGAAAGAUACGGGGACAAAAUGAAGUAGUAAUUAGAGAUGAUCAUUAAAUUUAGGCAGAUAUUUCAUUUCAUCAUGCGCCUCCUGUGUGUCCUGUGAACUGCCACAUUAGAUGGGAAGAGGAUGGCUCCCACCAGGACAGGGAGAGGAGCUCAGGAGUUCAACUGAACUUCCCAGCAAGUAUUUUGGCUCUGCUUUGCUAGAACCUCUGUGCCUGGCCACUGAGGUGUGAGUGUACCUGGAUUCUGGCUGUCCCCUACUCAGCUUAUUUAUUACUGCAGUUAUUUAUUGUUGCUUGCUUUUAUUUUGUUCUUCUUGAUUUAUUUUGUGUCAUCUUUGCUCCCCAUUUCCUUCCUUCUCCAGAAGGCAACCUCAGACUUUGAGACCUUGACUCAAGUCAAGAUGGCAAGACUGGGAUUUUGUCUCUCUCAUAAAACCUUGACUACAAAGGUAAGACAGGAAUCAGUGGGUCUGUUGAUGGGUGGGGUUUUCUUAGCCUGUGUUGGAGGCACUGUCAAUUCCAGUGGGAGCCAUAGGAAUGGCCCAAAUGCUUACAGAGCUAAGCAGUCCCUUGACAUGCACCAAAAAAUAGCUUGUCCUUUCUUUUCCUGCCUCCUUUCUGUCCCAGGAAAGAACUCCCAUGCCCUUCCACUUCCAUCCUCCCCGUUUCAGGCAACAUCCAGCUUCCUCCAGGUGAGACAGAGGCAUGUGGAGAUGAAGAAUUUAGAACCUCUCUCUCACUGCUUUUCACUUUCAGGACCUGAAGGGAAGGGAACGUGCCCACACCCUUCUGGUGCUGCUGGAGCCCCUCUUUCUGAGGGGGCUCAGGAAAAGGCAACAGCUGCUCCCCACUUCUCCUGCUCCACAACAGCAAUUAGUGAGGAAGAGUCUGUCCAGUGAUUCAUGUCUGAGGACAUAAGGAAGCCUCGGGGACCGGCUGGGGGGAAGCCUGUGCAGUGACUCACGUCUGAGGGGAUACGUGUCUAGAGGAAGUCUUGGCAACCUCCCCAGGAUGAGAUUUUCCUGACAUUUUCCCUCAGGAAGAAGGAGAAGAAGAGAACACCAAUAAAUACUAAGGAAGAAAGAAGAAAUCCUACUUCAGCUCUGGCUUUCAACACCAAGAAGUGAAGGAAGCUCUUCCCCCUCACUCCAAAGGUGCCCAAACCUCAGCCCUACACCACAACCGCUGCCCACCUCGUACCAGCACUCCCCAGUUUGAGACUCGUGGCCAAUUUAGGUCAAGUUUAUUAAAGACUAAUCAUUUACCUGUGUAUGAAUGGUAAUUAAAGCCUAACCCUGGGAGGUCACGUGUGCUGUUGAUGAUUGUCAGUCCAGUAAA
Long non-coding RNA from Myiozetetes cayanensis, 8642 nucleotides. RefSeq lists it as uncharacterized. Lineage: Eukaryota; Metazoa; Chordata; Aves; Passeriformes; Tyrannidae. The transcript has 3 exons. The record is from RefSeq and is a predicted model, not a curated record.